This 328-nucleotide ribosomal RNA is filed under the name uncultured Allantion. RNAcentral's name for it is "SSU rRNA". The stretch from base 108 to 328 matches the Rfam family "Eukaryotic small subunit ribosomal RNA", at positions 733 to 955 of the family's 1831-position model. The record is from RNAcentral. Lineage: Eukaryota; Cercozoa; Glissomonadida.
GAUUUCUGACAUUAAUGCGCUUGGCCCGCUACGGUUACGCAUGUGAGUGCCGAGUCGUGUUUGUCAUCCUUCUAGAAAAUGUUUAUUUGGCUCUUCAUUGAGUUUUAUUCUCACGAUCUAGAUCUUUUACUUUGAAAAAAUUAGAGUGUUUAAAGCAGGCGUUUGCUAUGAAUACAUUAGCAUGGAAUAAUAAUUUAGGACUUUGGUUCUAUUUUGUUGGUUUCUAGAACUGAAGUAAUGAUUGAUAGGGAUGGUUGGGGGUGCUCGUAUUCAGUGGCCAGAGGUGAAAUUCUCGGAUUCACUGAAGACGAACUUAUGCGAAAGCAUU